Molecule: long non-coding RNA, 1884 nt
Filed under: Theobroma cacao (cacao)
Lineage: Eukaryota; Viridiplantae; Streptophyta; Magnoliopsida; Malvales; Malvaceae
Description: long non-coding RNA (TCAC_LNC004511)
Source: RNAcentral
AAAGAGAAAAUAAUACAAAUAAACCAUAGAGAAGAAAAUUCAAGAGAAAUUUGUUGAAUUUCAAAGAACAAAGCAAUCAAAGGUAAGAUUUUUCAAUUUUAGCUUAAGAUCUACCUUUCCCAUGCUUUCUUUUUCAAUUUCUAUGGAUGAAACACAAGUUUCCAUGAGGGAAUACUUGCUGGCCGAACAUAGGGAGAGAGGUUUUGAUGGUGGAUUUUGCUAGAUUUCAUGAUAUCUUAGUGUUUUUAGUUGUUUGAUGAUGUUUGGCAUGAAAAACAAGCAAGAAAAUCACACGCCUUUCAACAACCCUCUUUGGCUAAAUUUUAUAGAUGACAUGUUGAUUAUGGAUUUGAUUCCUAAUGAUGUAGAUGGAUUUAUUAGACUGUGUUAACACUGAUUAGCACUUUAGUUCAGAAUCGGAAUGAAUUUCGGUUAUGAUGAAUUAAGUCACAAUCAAGCUCAUUGAGGUACUUUAGUGUAUUUGAAAUAUUGGAAGUGUAAUGAAUGUAUUUGAAGUUGAAUUAGAUGUUUUGGUUAAUUCAACAGUGUAUAGUUUGAGUUAGGUCGAAUACAAAUUCAGUCCGAUCAUAAUUGAACCCACGUAGAACACCGUCCUUAAGUGAUUAUUUGAACAAUUCUCAUUCAAGUUCAUACAUUCAUAUAGAGCCUGAAAUAGUUUUAUAAUAGUUUGGCCAAAAUAUAUUGAAUUACGUGUCGUGUAUUAUGUAUAGGUGGUGAGCCCUCUGAUAAGGGUAAAGAUAUCGUACCCGAGGACCAAGAAUAUGAGUACUCCAAUCUCCCGUUAUUGUGAGUAAUCAAAUGUUCAUCUUAAUUAUCUAAAGUAGUUUAUAUUCGUUUCUAUGAUUUUAAAGAAUAAUGAACUUAAACCGUAGAUUUUUAUGUUUUAUAAGUUCAGUGAUGGUUAAAUGAAUAAGAUUUAUAAAUUGUUUUGCAAUUCAAUGAUGAUUUUGGAAAUUGAGUGAGUGGAGACUAUAUACUUGUGUUAUCUAUAUAUAUAUAUGGCUUGAAUUGAUGGCUUAUGACAAUGUGAUGGCAUGAAUGGCUGGAUUUGUGGUUUGUGGAUUAUAUAAACUAUUUUGUUUUACCUUGACAGGCUGGGUAAUAUUAUAUUAGCCAUGUCAUGCUGUCGAAAUCUUUAUUGAUUUGGUGGGUUAUUUGAUUAGCUUACUACAAUGGGUGGGUUUUUGUGGACCAGCCUAUUAGAGGGGCAUGGUAAACCCCGUUAUAUUUUACCUUAGUAGGAGAGGCGCGGAGGGUAUCUCCUAAGGUAAGUUUAGAGUUCACUUCACAUCGAACCACCACUUGAGGGUGAAACUCAGCCAACGCCAAGGAAUGGCUAUAUUUUAAAAGUAAAAACAUGUUUUAUGGGUGUAUGUCGUUUUAACAUCCUUGGCGGACUCGGUUGGAUGCCUAGGCCAAGGUGUCCCCGAGUAUAAGUUUUGGCACAAGCCAAGUUUUUAAGAAAAUCAUAAGCCUUGUUGAUUAUUUUGAUGAAAUGAAAUUGGUUUAUAUGAAUUGAAAUGAGUUUUGGAAUGUUAUGAAUUAUAUUAGGAUGGGAUGAUUUAACUGUCUCCAUAUACUCAGUUUUAGAUGUUAUAUAUGAACUUUGCUUAGUCAUUGGGUUUAUAAAACUCACCCUUUCUUUUUACCCAUUUCAGGCUCAGGACAGUCUGUAGACAGCCCAUUUUGUCGAGGGUUGCUUUUAGAUUGCAUCUUUAGAAAUCGAAGGUCUACAGUCUUGUAUAUUUUCGGUUAUAUUGGGGCCCACAUGUCAUUGUAGAAUAUUUUUGAAUACCUGGUUUAGUGUCCUAUUAUAUAUAUCAAUUUAUUUUACUCUUACGCUAUAGAAAUUGUUUAUGUAGG